CCUACGGGUGGCAGCAGUGGGGAAUAUUGGACAAUGGGCGCAAGCCUGAUCCAGCAAUGCCGCGUGUGUGAAGAAGGCCUGCGGGUUGUAAAGCACUUUAAGCAGGAAAGAAGGCUCUGAGGAUAAUACCCUUGGAGAUUGACGUUACCUGCAGAAUAAGCACCGGCUAACUCCGUGCCAGCAGCCGCGGUAAUACGGAGGGUGCGAGCGUUAAUCGGAAUUACUGGGCGUAAAGCGCGCGUAGGCGGUGAGCUAAGUCCGCUGUGAAAGCCCCGGGCUUAACCUGGGAACUGCAGUGGAUACUGGUUGACUAGAGUGUGGUAGAGGGUGGCGGAAUUUCCGGUGUAGCAGUGAAAUGCGUAGAGAUCGGAAGGAACACCAGUGGCGAAGGCGGCCAUCUGGACCAACACUGACGCUGAGGUGCGAAAGCGUGGGGAGCAAACAGGAUUAGAUACCCCUGUAGUC
Molecule: ribosomal RNA, 465 nt
Filed under: uncultured Methylocaldum sp.
Lineage: Bacteria; Pseudomonadati; Pseudomonadota; Gammaproteobacteria; Methylococcales; Methylococcaceae
Description: bacterial SSU rRNA
Rfam family: Bacterial small subunit ribosomal RNA
Source: RNAcentral